AUAAGUAUCUAUGUGAAAAGCAAACUUUGUUUGUUUUCUGGCCAUUUCCUGGACACUGAGACUUUUCCCCAAUUGUUCAACUUUCAACGUGGGACCAGCUUCUAUGGGGCCAACAGAAUUGUUAAAGUACGUUGCCUAACCUCAAGAGAUCUCCUUCGCACCGGAAGAGAGAGAAUGAACACUCCACGGAGAACUAGAAAACAACAAAUGCUAAGCCAUGUAACUGAGGAGGUGUUUAGGGAAAAGAGAGAGCUGCUGGGCUGGCGGAGCAGGUAGAUUCUGCAGAGGAAGUAGAGUGUGAGACCGGAAUGGAAGGAUAAAGAGGAAAGAGAUGAGCAAACAAAGGAGGAGAGGUUCAUUCUCUCUGAUUUCGUAAAACUAAAAUGUCAUUGAAGUGACCAUGAUUUUCAUUGGAAGGAUAUGUGGGUAGAAGGCAUCACAAAUCCGUAAGCCCGGAGAAGCAGGCAGGUGUUUGGAAUGAGGGAAGAUGGCCAGGAGUAGGGGUGCAGGUGAUGCCACUGGAGUAGGAAAAAGUCACCCAAAGAAGACUCUGUGGACUCUCCCCACAUCCAGAAGCAGCUUAGGAAUGCAGGUGCCGUAGGAACCUACGUAGAACAGAAAGUAGCUGAACAUAGCUGCUUGCAUAAAUAGUGCCUGGAUCCUGCUGGAUGAGCAGUUGGUGAAGAAAGGGUCCCGAAAAUUAUCAUCCACCAAAUGCAACUCUCUCCUCAAACCAGAAUCCAUUUUCUCACUUUCGUCAUCAUUGUCGUUGUUCAGGUCAUUGUAGCUGAGCAUCACCUUGUACUGACUGAUGAUUUGUCGUAGAUACUGAAAAAUAUCCCAUUGAUCAGAUUUUACCAACUGUUCAGGCAAGAGAUCAUGAAAGGAGAGACUGGCUGACAAGGGCCUGAUUACUUUGCUUACAAAAGCUUUUUGUAGCUGUCAUUGUCUGGGCUUUGCUCCUGUGCUCUGCAGUGUCAAUUUCUUAGAGAGAUUGAGCAGGGCUGCCAGAGGCAUUCUUCUUUGUCAAAUGUUGCACUUAUUAUUGAGUUUGUACCCAGGGAAACAUUUAUCUCUUGUGGCAGCGUUGCCGAGGCCAGAUUUGGUCCUAGUGAAGUUAAAGGAGGUCUUGUUAGAGCAGAAAGGAUAGUGUUGAGUGAAUGAAAGUAAUUAACUCGAAGAUGUGUGAUCAUGGUGUCAGCAUAGUAAAUUGCCACAAGAAUUGAGAGUCAGAGGCCUUCCACAGCUGGAGAUGCUCAGAAUAAGCUCAUUUGAGAUCACUACACAUUUCUUAGACACACCUUUGGUUGACCUAUCUUCCAGACUCUGUUUUUAAAUAAGAGUCUGGAAUCCCACAAGGAUUCUUUAUUAAUGAGAAGCAAUAGGUGCAUCUGAUUUAUUGGUGAUAUACAGAUUUAAAAAAAAAAUCACAGUAUCAGUACUUUCUGAUCCAAAAUAUAUUAUCAUCAACACACACACAAUAUAACCAGAGAGAUUGUGGCUAAGAUUGCAUUGUCUCAUGGACUGUUUCUUCCCUUUUCCUAUCUACUUUUACAAUAACCAUGGGACCAGUGCAUCCCUAAAAGAAGAAGCAAAGUCUCUUCCAAUUGCAUUAUCAACUGCUAAGUGCUGCAUGAGACCACAGGUCAUGAUGCAAGGAGGAGAAAGAAAGUAACUUCUACAUCUGAUGCAAGAGGCAGAAAUAGCCCAACUUUGGUGAAUGAUGCGUGUUAGAGCAUGCAAUUAGAAAAACCCUUCUCUCACUUUUAAGAUGAGCAAGUAUGAUACAAAUAGGCAGAAAGAAAAUGAAUACCUAACUUUUGGAAUCAUGAUUUUUUUUCCCCCCAAGCACAGCAGUAUUAGGAAAAAAUAACUCAGAAACUUGACAGGUUUUUUUUUUUUUUUUUGAAAGGUUUAUUUGUUGCAAGAAACCAACUUUCCUUCUAUCUCUUACUUUUCACACUAUAUGAAUUCAGAACACAGCCCUUAUUUAAAAAUAAUAUUUCUUCAGAAUAGAAAAAAUAAACUUGCCUGUACAUGGAACAUUUGCAAAGAGAGAACAUGAACAAACAGGUUUUUAAUUUCAGGUGGAAAGUAGACCUUUUGGCCCAAAUUUAAUUGCAGAUAAGAAACUGUCAUAUCUAGGAGUUAACUAGCUACCACCAAAUGAUGGCUUAUUUUAAGGACACAAAUUAAAAACAAGUCGUUGAUUUAUAGAGGAAAUGGAUAAUUAACCACAGCUACAUCGAGAGAUCUUGGUUUUCCAGAAAUCAAGAAGCGGAGGAAGUUUUAGUCAUCGUCUUCGACCUCAGGAUCAUGCUCUCUUCCAAACAAGUAGCAUUAAACUGCUUCCCAUGUUAAAAUUGACAACCUGAAGAGCUGUGCCUCCCAGUGCUAAGAAGUGCUUGUGUGACAGCUUUCAGCCUUCAUGAGAGUUUAAUCCUUAUGAACUGUGUCUUUACCCAUAUGACUUCCAAUUCCAAAGAGCAAGAGUCUGACUUCUUCUGUUUUAUACUCUGCUGGGUUUUGAAAAUUGGAAGCACAUUGUUCAAUUAAGAACCAAUUAAUGUGACAUUCCAGCAUGAAAGGAGUGUUAGGCAAGAGGAGCCCACUGCAAACUAAUCAGUUUAAAUUUCCUUGACUCACAAUAUGCCAUUUCUUGAAGGCAUGGGAGUGUUAUGCGUUUAUACCACCUCUGGCUCUUGGAACUUGACUGAUUUCAGAAACUAUGUAGGGUCAAGUUGAGUCAGGAUCACAUGGUGACCUUCCCAGAGUAGCCCUAUUUCUGCAAAAAAAAAAAAAAAAAAAAAAGUGCGCACCAUGGGUGUAGUCUCUCUCUCAUAGUGGUACUAACUCAUUACUUUGCAGUGAUGCUCCUGUCUGCCACGUAACUCAGAAGAUAAUGAGCACCCGGAAACUCAAAGGGUAUGCAUUACAACCUAAUUCUCUCAAGCAUAAUUUGUGCCUCGAACUUCAGUUUCCUCAUCUCUUCAACGGAAACAGCAGGAUCUAUUAAAUGGAGCUACAUUGCUGUGCCACUCACCACCAGAGAAGAAAAAGCCCUGGUUUUUUGAAUAGAUGCCAGCCUCAGCAAUUAGUCCAUCAACUUAAAUUCUUCUUGUAGUUUCAAUUAGAUUGAGAACCCUCCCUGGUUUCCACUCAGGCUGUUGUGCAACAUUUCUGCAAGGCUAACAGCUGUCUUAUUCCACCCCAGAGAGACUCUAUUUCAGCUACUCCUGCAUUCCUAGUUCAUAAAGCACUCCAGGAGCCAGUGGGCGAAAGGCACUCUGUAGCAUCACAAGAUGAUAUUUGUUAGUAGUAAAUAAGCUAUGGUAAAAAGGCAGGCAGCGAUUGUGCUCUUGUUAACCGAUCACUCAGCACUCCAGUUGUAUUCACUACACCAAGAACUGGUUGGAUAUCAAAGAACUUGGACUGGCAGAUUUCAUAGGGGAUUUUUUUUUUUUUUUUUGACAUCCAAAGAUCUCACAGAAGAAAAAAAAAAAUACCGAAGACCGAAGCUCACAGUCUCUCAGCAUCAUCUCCGAUUUCAAAAUGAAUGUGCCAGGAGAUAGUCUAUACAGUUGUUUGGCAGAUUCAUUUGUUUUUAAAUUCAUUUAAGGCAGCUUUCCAAAUAAUAUGCUAAAAGAAAUAGCUUUGCUGACUUCUAGGCAGACUCAGAGAGCUGUAUUUGAUUCCCUUUCCCUUCAUUCCCUCUAUGCUCGUGUCCAUUCUUUCUUCCAGCCAUUCUCACCUCCUUCCAUUGUGCUCCUUUUCAUGAGACCUCGAAUCUUGCCUUUAGCGAAGCUUCCCCAGGAUAGCCUUGAACAUCUCUGUUGCUUACUAUCAAUUUAAAAACUUGAUGGGAUGAGCACUGGGUGUUAUGCUAUAUGUUGGCAAAUUGAACUCCAAUAAAAAAAUAAAUUAAUUUAAAAAAAUAAACCUCUGCCCAUCAUGUUCACUGCUGGUGCCACCCUCACCCAGGCUUCCUUGAUAGCUCAUGGUUGGUUGGGUUUGGUCACUGGGACACAAGAAGAGAGAGGCAGCAAUAUUUCUUCUCUCCUCUUGCCCUACCAAGCAUUGUUGUUUUGGCAGCGACUUCAUUCCCCCCUUGACUACAGCUCCUGCCUCUAGCCCCUCAUCCAAGAUUCCAGCUCUUUCAGGGCUCCGCUGACACUAUUUCCUCUCCUUGCCCUCUACCCAAAGGCAAUAAGGAAUUUCUGCUGUUUCUGGUCUCUGGCUGCCUCCACCAUGCGGAUUUCCUCACUCCUGUUCACAACCCUGCAAGCAGUCCUUUCAGUAAAAUAAUUUGAGCUGCUAGGACUCGGGCUCUCCUCCCUCUCACCUCACACGUAUAUACACUAGGAAAGAGAAAGAUACAAAACUGUCUUGAAUGCAUAUGGCGCUCCCUACUUGAUUUGGAUUGAUUUCCUGCCUGAGUCCCUUCAGACUCAGAAUACACAAGCCCUAAUUUCUGUUUGUAAUAGUCACAUAAUGCAGCAUCUGUCAUAUGAUAGAAUUAAUCAUGAAGGAAUGCUACUUUAUUUGGAGAUCAUGUUGAUAUAAAGGUGGUUAACGGGGUAUCCAUUUAAAAUGGUGAGAACUUUCUAAUU
Molecule: long non-coding RNA, 4610 nt
Organism: Canis lupus familiaris (dog)
Lineage: Eukaryota; Metazoa; Chordata; Mammalia; Carnivora; Canidae
Exons: 4
Source: RefSeq, a predicted model, not a curated record